UUGACCUCGGAUCAGGUAGGACUACCCGCUGAACUUAAGCAUAUCAAUAAGCGGAGGAAAAGAAACCAACAGGGAUUGCCUCAGUAACGGCGAGUGAAGCGGCAACAGCUCAGAUUUGGAAUCUGGCCCCCAGGGCCCGAGUUGUAAUCUGGAGAGGAUGCUUCUGGCGCGGCGCCUUCCGAGUUCCCUGGAACGGGACGCCAGAGAGGGUGAGAGCCCCGUACGGUCGGACGCCUAGCCUCUGUGAAGCUCCUUCGACGAGUCGAGUAGUUUGGGAAUGCUGCUCAAAAUGGGAGGUAAAUUUCUUCUAAAGCUAAAUACCGGCCAGAGACCGAUAGCGCACAAGUAGAGUGAUCGAAAGAUGAAAAGCACUUUGAAAAGAGGGUUAAACAGUACGUGAAAUUGUUGAAAGGGAAGCGCCCGUGGCCAGACUUGCGCCCCGCGGAUCACCCGGCGUUCUCGCCGGUGCACUCUGCGAGGCGCAGGCCAGCAUCGGUUCUCCCAGGGGGACAAAGGCUGCGGGAACGUAGCUCCUACGGGAGUGUUAUAGCCCGCUGCGCCAUGCCCCUGGGGGGACCGAGGACCGCGCUUCGGCAAGGAUGCUGGC
RNAcentral lists this ribosomal RNA (607 nucleotides) under Grosmannia grandifoliae. RNAcentral's name for it is "eukaryotic LSU rRNA". It matches the Rfam family "Eukaryotic large subunit ribosomal RNA", at positions 1 to 630 of the family's 3401-position model. The record is from RNAcentral. Lineage: Eukaryota; Fungi; Ascomycota; Sordariomycetes; Ophiostomatales; Ophiostomataceae.